UUGNUGCUUGCAUCAGGAUCUACAUUUGAGUGAGUGGCGAACUGGUGAGUAACACGUGGGAAACCUGCCCAGAAGCGGGGGAUAACACCUGGAAACAGAUGCUAAUACCGCAUAACAACUUGGACCGCAUGGUCCGAGUUUGAAAGAUGGCUUCGGCUAUCACUUUUGGAUGGUCCCGCGGCGUAUUAGCUAGAUGGUGGGGUAACGGCUCACCAUGGCAAUGAUACGUAGCCGACCUGAGAGGGUAAUCGGCCACAUUGGGACUGAGACACGGCCCAAACUCCUACGGGAGGCAGCAGUAGGGAAUCUUCCACAAUGGACGAAAGUCUGAUGGAGCAACGCCGCGUGAGUGAAGAAGGGUUUCGGCUCGUAAAACUCUGUUGUUAAAGAAGAACAUAUCUGAGAGUAACUGUUCAGGUAUUGACGGUAUUUAACCAGAAAGCCACGGCUAACUACGUGCCAGCAGCCGCGGUAAUACGUAGGUGGCAAGCGUUGUCCGGAUUUAUUGGGCGUAAAGCGAGCGCAGGCGGUUUUUUAAGUCUGAUGUGAAAGCCUUCGGCUCAACCGAAGAAGUGCAUCGGAAACUGGGAAACUUGAGUGCAGAAGAGGACAGUGGAACUCCAUGUGUAGCGGUGAAAUGCGUAGAUAUAUGGAAGAACACCAGUGGCGAAGGCGGCUGUCUGGUCUG
Molecule: ribosomal RNA, 688 nt
Filed under: Lactiplantibacillus plantarum
Lineage: Bacteria; Bacillati; Bacillota; Bacilli; Lactobacillales; Lactobacillaceae
Description: bacterial SSU rRNA
Rfam family: Bacterial small subunit ribosomal RNA
Source: RNAcentral